Long non-coding RNA from Cebus imitator (Panamanian white-faced capuchin), 596 nucleotides. RefSeq lists it as uncharacterized. The record is from RefSeq and is a predicted model, not a curated record. The transcript has 5 exons. Lineage: Eukaryota; Metazoa; Chordata; Mammalia; Primates; Cebidae.
GGACGCGGCGGGCUUUGCGCGUGCGCGCGGGGCACAAGCCGUCGACCCGGCGAGCCAAGCAGCGAGCGACCCGAGACCGUCCGCCGAGGAGACAAGCAAGCUGUCAUGUUAUAAGCAGCCCUUUGAGGGGUCCAUGUGAUGUCAAAGAAUGAAGUCUCUAGUCAACUUUUAAUGAGGUCUUGAGGCCCAUAAACAAUCUUGAGUGAGUUUGGAAGUAGCUCCUUCAGCAUCACUUGGAUGUUGAGAUGACUACUGACAGCUUUACUGCAACCUCAUGAAAGUCUUCUGAACCAAAACCACUCAGAAGGUGAUAUCUGAGCUGAGAGGCAAAGGAUGAGAAGGAAUCUGUCAUGUGAAGACCUGGGAAGCAGGUGUACUAAGCAGAAGAGCAGUAAGUACAAAGACCGUGAGGAAGAAGACCGAAGACUAAUUUCUGAGCACUCCAAUUGUAGGCAGUAGUGGAGAUGAAGAAAAACCAGAGCACUAUAUGGUAAAGGAGCAGCCAACAAGGUACCAGUUGAAUGAAGAGAAGCACACCUCCUCCCCAGAACAGUACUGCAGCUAUGAUAUAACGCCUGGGCAGGGUUCGCAGUAGC